UACGAAGGGGGCUAGCGUUGCUCGGAAUUACUGGGCGUAAAGGGCGCGUAGGCGGGUCGUUUAGUUAGAGGUGAAAGCCCAGGGCUCAACCCUGGAAUUGCCUUUAAUACUGGCGGCCUUGAGUAUGGCAGAGGUGUGUGGAACUCCGAGUGUAGAGGUGAAACUCGUAGAUAUUCGGAAGAACACCAGUGGCGAAGGCGACACACUGGGCCAUUACUGACGCUGGAGGCGGCGGAAAAGCGUGGGGGAGCAAACAGG
This 258-nucleotide ribosomal RNA is filed under the name uncultured bacterium. Its description in RNAcentral is "partial 16S ribosomal RNA". It matches the Rfam family "Bacterial small subunit ribosomal RNA", at positions 524 to 776 of the family's 1533-position model. The record is from RNAcentral.